This 941-nucleotide long non-coding RNA is filed under the name Brassica rapa (field mustard). Its description in RNAcentral is "long non-coding RNA (BRAP_LNC000892)". The record is from RNAcentral. Lineage: Eukaryota; Viridiplantae; Streptophyta; Magnoliopsida; Brassicales; Brassicaceae.
UCUUCUGAAUUAUGUUUUGAAUGAUAUACUCUCUUGAUGUCAUAAUAAGUUAUGGUUUAUAGAAAAUGUUCAGCUUAUAUGAUAUAUUCAGUUUCAAUGCAAACAUAAUUAGCUUUUAUGUUUUUCUACUAUUUGUAUUUUAUACAUUAUUUUGUCAUUAGUUGCUUUUGUGUUAAGUAAAUGAUAAUUACAGAAUGCCGUCUGAAAUUAAUAAAAAAUACAUAUUUUUCUUCCACCAUUAUAAAGCCAAAUAUUUUGAUAUUCAGGUUUAGAAAUACGUAUAUAUCAUCCAGACUGAUCCACUUGCAUUAGAUAACCGUUUGUUUCUUUAGAGCUAUUAAUUGCAAAGCCAUUUCUCUUGCACUUCAAAAAAAAAAAAAACUAUUUUCCUUGCACGACUUCUCAAACGUGGCUGCUCAUUUGAGUUUAAGAUGCAAUAAUGAUUGUUGGAUCGAAGGUGUCGACGAUGUUCCAUUUCUUUUCAUGGUUUGAUAUUUUUUUUUUUUGUUAUUUGAGGAACAUUUUUAUUUAUUAACUUUAUUCUCAUGUGUGAUUAAUAUAACUGCCAUUUUUUAAGUGUUAUUGUAGAACUAGAUAAUGCUAUUGCACAUUAAAACUAGAUAAUGAUUAUACUGUAUGUUUUCACAUUAAACAUUUGAUAUCUAGGAGAUUUUACUUCUUAUAUAUAUAUAUAUAUAUAUAUAUAUAUAUAUAUGUAUAUAUAUUCGCAAUUUUUUUCCUUUUUAUGCAUAUUCAUAUACGAAGAUCAUUAUAACAUUUUUUUUUAAUAUUCUAGACGUAGCUAUAUUUCUCGAAUGUACAGGAAGAUAAUGUUAUCAAAGCCUCGACUUAUUCUCAUCUUCUCAUCUGUGUAUUUACAAACGUAAAAGUAAUCCAACAUCUUUGUAUUUAUCUUUGUAGAAAGACAUAUUAUUUUUUUG